RNAcentral lists this long non-coding RNA (8774 nucleotides) under Chlamydomonas reinhardtii. RNAcentral's name for it is "long non-coding RNA (CREI_LNC000723)". The record is from RNAcentral. Lineage: Eukaryota; Viridiplantae; Chlorophyta; Chlorophyceae; Chlamydomonadales; Chlamydomonadaceae.
CAGCCGCUCAGUGACGACGGCCACCUCCUGCGCCGCUUCGGCCGCCGCCGGCACGCACUCGCCCUGGGCCUCUGCUUUCCCCAUCGCCGCCAGCUCCGCCGCCAUCCAGGGCGACAGCGAGGCGAGGUAGGCGCCGAAAUCGCCGGCCUCCUCCGCCUCAACGUCAUCCGCCCAGCGGCGGCCGUUGGGGGUGCCGCCGGUGCCGCUGGCAGCUGCCGCCGCCGCCUGCUCCGCCAGGCCCUCCUUCAGCCAAUCUGCGAGCGACCCGAGGUCGAGCUCCUCCUCCGCCUCCUCAUGCGCCUCAACCUCAUCCGCCCAGCUACCGCUCGCGCCACCGCUGCUGCUAAUGCUGGCGCGAGGAGCAAUGCUGCUGCUGCUGCUGCUGCUGCUGCUGCUGCUGCUGCUGCUGCCGUCAGACUCUGACGCUGCCGCGGGCACGGCCGGUGCGGCUUCCGCCUGCUGCUGCUCGGCCGCCGCGAGCUCCGCCAGUCCCUGCUUCACCCAGGGCGUCUGCUCAAAGAGGUCGCUCAGGUCGAGUCCGUCAGCCUCAUCCUCAUCAUCAUCGCCCCAUCGCGGCGUGGUCGAGCUGCGGUCGACGGUGGAGGUGGAGAUGGGGCUUGCAGCGGCGGCGGGCUUGGUCGGGGCGGCGGGCUUGGUCGGAGCCGCGAGCUUGGGCACCUUGGGCAGGCCGGGCGGCUUCUGCGGGCGCCAGUGGUUGUCGUAGGCAUGGCAAAGCUGGCAAGGGGCGCUCCUGCAGCCAGCAGAUAGGCUGGCAUAGCACCAGCGCAUGCAGGACUUGUGAGGAAAGCAGCAGGCGCUGGGGGCGGGCUCCUGCUGCUCCUGCUGGUGGGCGGCGGCGGAGGGCUCGCUCUCAUCAGAGCCGUGGCCUUGGCUGCGGGGCGUGUGGCGCCAGGCGUCCUGUGCAAACGAGAUCGGGGGAAAAGGAUAGAUGGGGGCGGACAAGCCGUGAGUGCACGGGACGAGGACAAGGGUCGGGGCGCAGAGGGCGGGAGAAAGGGCCGGGGGUCGGGGGCUCGGGCCCCGGCAAAAAAGUCAGGCGCACCGGAAAGGCACGCGCUUUCGGUCAAAGCUGUUGACCGACGCAUUUUACGAGACAAUACAUGCAGCAAUAUGCAGCCAGUGUGGCCGCAGCAGCGCAAGAAGGAACGCCGAGGAAGCCGAGCGCACUACUGGCCCGAAAUCUGCAACGCUAUCUAGCCCGCAUCAGAAGCCUAAUGCUUUGCAUGUGGCAUCGGAUACCCAUUGCAGCUGCUCAAGGCUCAAAAUGGCCGUGCCCGAACAUGAAUGGUGCUCACCUGCAUCGGUCGGCUCGGCUCGAAGUCAAGCCCCGGUGCACUUGCGAUUGACCGUGAUGUGGCCAUAGUAGCUCUCGACCGCACCAAGCACUCUUCGCGCGCAGAACUCGAUUCUGCUGCUAGCGCAAUUCUUUCGCUUGACGGAAACUUUUCCUCGCGGUGCCCGGGAGGGAUUCGCGCUAGGAGCUGCUAGCUCGUGACAGUGGUGGUGCUUGCCGCAGCUUUCAUGCGCAUGCGGUGGAAAUCGAGAGAGGUCGCGAACAGCCCUAGAAAUGCUCUUCUUUGCCGUCAGGUGCUCGUAGCUAAGCAGUGGGCGUAAAAGCUGUUUGUGAGAUGUCUUUGCAUCUGUUGAAUGUGCAAUAUGAGCACAGCGCGAAGCUUUUAUCCAGUGGCGGGGACAGGGUCUCGGGCGCCCAUGCAGGCGACACGCGCCCAAUCCCGAGCCUCCCACUCCUCGCCUGUACCUUGUCCCUGGACCCGCGCCAUCCGUGUCCCGCUGUUCAAUUCCCGCGUUUCAUACCAGCUCCCCUCCCCUGCGUAGGCCGGUAACCCCUGAUCCCGCCGCUGCCGGGGAUGCAGCCGUGCAGGAUGAGGUUGACGGCUGGGGAAGUUGGUGUGGGGAAGUUGGUGUAGGUUGGCGGUGAUCCAGCGGGGUGGGUGCCGAUGUGCUAUAGCGGGCGCGAGGCUGUACACGUCAGGAUCUGGCGAGUGUACUGCUCAAGCUGGCUUUGUGAUGGCCCCCAAGCGUAGGUGAGGUAGGCGCACGGCGGUGACAAGGCAUGCGGCCAGUGGAACUGCCUUACAGUUACAGCCCGCCCAAGCGCGGUUGUUGCCCUGCCAUGAUUUCCGUGCAGUCUGCUAGCUUCGGCAGGGACGGUGCCCAUCAGUUCCCGAUGUUGACAAACCAUGCAUCCAGCCGCCCACACGUGCUCUUCGUUCGUCACAUACCGUACUCGAACUCCAAUGUCCACAGAGCGUGUGCGCGAAAUCCACACGCCACACACGCAAGUGACAGCCGCCCGUCCUUGCACAGCAAGCAUCUCCGCGCACGGUCGCACGCUUCUCUAGCCCCAACGAACCGCAAACCACAAAUCAAGUCACACCCACCUCAGCAUUAGAAGUGCACACCCGCCUAUCGAAUGUCGGAUGAUGAUAAGGCAACAAGUAGGUCUACUGCACCCAUGCAUGGAUGGAAAGAAUCAAUGGACCUGUGGAUAUAGGAUCCGGCCUUCUCAAGGGUCCUCGCGCAUUUACUAAAGAGCCAAGGGGUCUAGUAUGUAAGAAUCAAUGCCAGUCUCAAGUCAAGCACACUGCUGCCGCUUCCUGGCAUCUGGAAUGCCGGAAGGGUCGGAGGAACUUGCACCCACAGAACGUACACGUCGUGUCACUGACAGCCCACUCGAGUCUUGUAAACAGUAAGAAUAGUGCCCGCUCCUGCAGCGAGCCAAGAUACGGUAACCUCGAUACUUCUUUGUGUCUCACCGCGGUACGCGCACAGACAUUAAUCUGCGGGCUCCCUCUCCGCACUCCUUCUGUCACUCCCGUGCGUCAGGUCGUUUCCGACGUCGCCUCCACUCCAUCUCCUACGUCCCAUGACUCACCUGUAGCCCCAGGCAGCCCUGCGUCCAUUGGCACAGCGCCCCUCGCCACCUGCCACCCUCUCGCUCAGCAAAUGAACGCACGCACGAUAGCAAAACACCAGCAGUCCGUAGUAUGGCCAAGGGGGGCUGCCGGUUCCCCGGUCCCAUACAGUCACACAUACAUCUUAUUAAGAAACAUCAGCAGGGUUUAUUUGGCGAGUCUCAGUAGAGAAAUAGACAUCCCUACAUCACCCAAUGCGCAUGGCAAUAUCGCACUGAGUGCUUGCUUGCGCAAGCAAUCCAGCAUCAAGUGCGGCCUUUGACACUCCCGCUCGCUCACAUACGGUGUAUUAUCAGUACAGCACGGCAACACUCGCGCGAAUCAGUCCUGUCUCCUGCGGUAAACGCCGACUACCGUAGCACGCCCUGCUGUCGUGCUGACAAUGAGAAAUGUGCGGCGGCACAGCCCUGCUGGUUCACUUGAUAGUGGGCCCGAUCAGUAGCUAGUAGCGGCGAUUUGCCUAGCCGUCUAUACUUGCACGCAUACGCUGCGGGUGUGCCUCACAUACCAUAAUACCCAGUGCUGCUUCUUUCGCAUAUAACACACGCUCAGCAUGCCCUGCUGGCUCACUUCGAUACUGUACCAUCCACACACGUACGUGUGACGAGCCCCUGUUGCAAAAGGCCGCCGGCACCACAGCUGCGGCUGCUGCGGCUGCUGCUGCCGCUGCUACUGCUGCAUCUUCAAAUGGCGAAGGCAGCAAGCCGCUGGCUGCUGGGCUCAUGCAGCUGACGGCGUAACACGGAAUGAAGCCAAACGGAACGGAGCGGCCCUUGCCGCUACCAGGCCGCCACCGCUGCCGGUGGCGGGAAGCAGCCGCACGCGCGCUCCAACGCGGCAAACUCCUCCAGCUCCCGCUCCUGCUCGGCCCACGCCGCCGCCGCCAGCUCGAUCGCCAGGCGCAGGCGCGAGGGCAUCACAGCUGACUGCCACUCAUCACCCUGCUGCACUGCCGCAAUUGGCGGAACGACACAGCUGCCCAUGCUGCUGCCGGCGGCGGUGCAGGCCUCCUUGUCAAUGCUCUGCCGCUCCGCUGCCACCUCCACCGCCUCCACCUGCUGCGGCGUCUCACUGCCUGCCGCCGCCGCCACCCAGACCAGACUGCAGCUGCUGGCGCUGCGGCUGGUGCGGGCGCUGUCCGGCACGGCGCAGCAGCACGAGCUGAGCGGCGAGUCAGGCGCGUCCGGCCGCUCAGUGACAACGGCCACCUCCUGCUCCGCUUCGGCCGCCGCCGGCACGCACUCGCCCUGGGCCUCUGCUUUCCCCAUCGCCGCCAGCUCCGCCGCCAUCCAGGGCGACAGCGAGGCGAGGUAGGCGCCGAAAUCGUCGGCCUCCUCCUCCUCGACGUCAUCCGCCCAGCGGCGGCCGCUGGGGGUGCCGCCGGUGCCGCUGGCAGAUCCCGCCGCCGCCUGCUCCGCCAGGCCCUCCUUCAACCAAUCUGCAAGCGACCCGAGGUCGAGCUCCUCCUCCUCCUCCGCCUCCUCGUGCGCCUCGACUUCAUCCGCCCAGCUACCGCUCGCGCCACCGCUGCUGCUAAUGCUGGCGCGAGGAGCAAUGCUGCUGCUGCUACUGCUGCUGCUGCUGCCGUCAGACUCUGACGCUGCCGCGGGCGCGGCCGGUGCGGCUUCCGCCUGCUGCUGCUCGGCCGCCGCGAGCUCCGCCAGUCCCUGCUUCACCCAGGGCGUCUGCUCAAAGAGGUCGCUCAGGUCGAGUCCGUCAGCCUCAUCCUCAUCAUCAUCGCCCCAUCGCGGCGUGGUCGAGCUGCGGUCGACGGUGGAGGUGGAGAUGGGGCUGGCAGCGGCGGCGGGCUUGGUCGGGGCGGCGGGCUUGGUCGGAGCCGCGAGCUUGGGCACCUUGGGCAGGCCGGGCGGCUUCUGCGGGCGCCAGUGGUUGUCGUAGGCAUGGCAAAGCUGGCAGGGGGCGCUCCUGCAGCCAGCAGAUAGGCUGGCAUAGCACCAGCGGAUGCAGAACUUGUGGGGAAAGCAGCAGGCGCUGGGGCCGGGCUCCUGCUGCUCCUGCUGGUGGGCGGCGGCGGAGGGCUCGCUCUCAUCAGAGCCAUGGCCUUGGCUGCGGGGCGUGUGGCGCCAGGCGUCCUGUGCAAACGAGAUCGGGGGAAAGGAUAGAUGGGGGCGGACAAGCCGUGAGUGCACGGGACGAGGACAAGGGUCGGGGCGCAGAGGGCGGGACAAAGGGCCGGGGGUCGGGGGCUCGAGCCCCGGCAAAAAAGUCAGGCGCACCGGAAAGGCACGCGCUUUCGGUCAAAGCUGUUGACCGACGCAUUUUACGAGACAAUACAUGCAGCAAUAUGCAGCCAGUGUGGCCGCAGCAGCGCAAGAAGGAAGGCUGAGGAAGCAGAGCGCACUACUGACCCGAAAUCUGCAACGCUAUAUAGCCCGCAUCCGAAGCCUAAUGCUUUGCAUGUGGCAUCAGAUACCCAUUGCAGCUGCUCAAGGCUCAAAAUGGCCGUGCCCGAACAUGAAUGGUGCUCACCUGCAUCGGUCGGCUCGGCUCGAAGUCAAGCCCCGGUGCACUUGCAAUUGACCGUGAUGUGGCCAUAGUAGCUCUUGACCGCACCAAGCACUCUUCGCGCGCAGAACUCGAUUCUGCUGCUAGCGCAAUUCUUUCGCUUGAUGGAGUUUCCUCGCGGUGCCCGGGAGGGAUUCGCGCUAGAAGCUGCUAGUUCGUGAUAGUGGUGGUGCUUGCCGCAGCGUUCAUGCGCAUGCGGUGGAAAUCGAGAGAGGUCGCGAACAGCCCUAGAAAUGCUCUUCUUUGCCGUCGAUAAGCUCAGGUGCUCGUAGCUAAGCAGUGGGCGUAAAAGCUGUUUGCGGGAUGUCUUUGCAUCUGUUGAUUGUGCAAUAUGAGCACAGCGCGAGAAGCUUUUAUCCGGUGGCGGGGACAGGGUCUCGGGCGCCCAUGCAGGCGACACGCGCCUAAUCCCGAGCCUCCCUCCUCGCCUUUACCUUGUCCCUGGACCCGCGCCAUCCGUGCCCCGCUGUUCACUUCCCUCGUUUCAUACCAGUUCCCCUCCCCUGCGUAGGCCGGUAACCCCUGAUCCCGCCGCUGCCAGGGAUGCAGCUGUGCAGGAUGAGGUUGACGGCUGUGGAUUGCAUUGGUUACAAGAGGGACCUGCUGACGCAGUUCACGAGCCAGUGACGUGUGGAAGUUGGUGUAGGUUGGCGGUGAUCCAGCGGGGUGGGUGCCGAUGUGCUAUAGUGGGCGCGAGGCUGUACACGUCAGGACCUGGCGAGUGUACUGCUAAAGCUGACUUUGUGAUGGCCCCCAAGCGUAGGUGAGGUAGGCGCACGGUGGUGACAAGGCAUGCGGCCAGUGGAACUGCCUUACAGUUACAGCCCGCCCAAGCGCGGUUGUUGCCCUGCCAUGAUUUCCGUGGAGUCUCUAGCUCCGGCAGGGACGGUCCCCAUCAGUUCCCGUAGUGGACCAUGCAUCCAGCCGCCCACACGUGCUCUCCGUUCGUCACAUACAGUACUCGAACUCCAAUGUCCACAGAGCGUGUGCGCGAAGUCCACACGCCACACACGCAAGUGGCAGCCGCCCGUCCUUGCACAGCAAGCAUCUCCGCGCACGGUCGCACGCUUCACUAGCCCCAACGAACCGCCUACCACAAAUCAAGUCACACCCACCUCAGCAUUAGGAGUGCACAUCCGCCUGUCGAAUGUCGGAUGAUGAUAGGGCAACAAGUAGGUCUAGAGAAAUGAAAGCUAGUAGGUCUACUGCACCCAUGCAUGGAUGGAAAGAAUCAAUGGACCUUUGGAUAUAGGAUCCGGCCUUCUCAAGGGUCCUCGCGCAUUUACUAAAGAGCCAAGGGGUCUAGUAUGUAAGAAGCAAUGCCAGUCUCAAGUCAAGCACACUGCUGCCGCUUCCUGGCAUCUGGAAUGCCGGAAGGGUCGGAGGAACUUGCACCCACAGAACGUACACGUCGUGUCACUGACAGCCCACUCGAGUCUUGUAAACAGUAGAAAUCGUGCCCGCUCCUGCAGCGAGCCAAGAUACGGUAACCUCGAUACUUCUUUGUGUCUCACCGCGGUACGCGCACAGACAUUAAUCUGCGGGCUCCCUCUCCGCACUCCUUCUGUCACUCCCGUGCGUCAGGUCUUCUCCGACGUCGCCUCCACUCCAUCUCCUACGUCCCAUGACUCACCUGUAGCCCCAGGCAGCCCUGCGUCCAUUGGCACAGCGCCCCUCGCCACCUGCCACCCUCUCGCUCAGCAAAUAAACGCACGCGCGAUAGCAAAACACCAGCAGUCCGUAGUAUGGCCAAGGGGGGCUGCCGGUUCCCCGGUCCCAUACAGUCACACAUACAUCUUAUUAAGAAAAAUCAGCAAGGUUUAUUUGGCGAGUCUCAGUAGAGAAAUAGACAUCCAUACAUCACCCAAUGCGCAUGGCAAUAUCGCACAGAGUGCUUGCUUGCGCAAGCAAUCCAGCAUCAAGUACGGCCUUUGACACUCCCGCUCGCUCACAUACGGUGUAAUAUCAGUACAGCACGGCAACACUCGCGCGAAUCAGUCCUGUGUCCUGCGGUAAACGCCGACUACCGUAGCACGCCCUGCUGUCGUGCUGACAAUGAGAAAUGUGCGGCGGCACAGCCCUGCUGGUUCACUUGAUAGUGAAUGGGCCCGAUCAGUAGCUAGUAGCGGCGAUUUGCCUAGCUGUCUAUACUUGCACGCAUACGCUGCGGGUGUGCCUCACAUACCAUAAUACCCAGUGCUGCUUCUUUCGCAUUUAACACACGCUCAGCAUGCCCUGCUGGCUCACUUCGAUACUGUGCCAUCCACACACGUACGUGUGACGAGCCCCUCUUGCGAACGGCCGUCGGCACCACAGCUGCGGCGGCUGCGGCUGCGGCUGCUGCUGCUCCUGCUGCUGCUACUGCUACUGCUGCAUCUUCAAGUGGCGAAGGCAGCAAGCCGCUGGCUGCUGGGCUCAUGCAGCUGACGGCGUAACACGGAAGCCAAACGGAACGGAGCGGCCCUUGCCGCUACCAGGCCGCCACCGCUGCCGGUGGCGGGAAGCAGCCGCACGCGCGCUCCAACGCGGCAAACUCCUCCAGCUCCCGCUCCUGCUCGGCCCACGCCGCCGCCGCCAGCUCGAUCGCCAGGCGCAGGCGCGAGGGCAUCACAGCUGACUGCCACUCAUCACCCUGCUGCACUGCCGCGAUUGGCGGAACGACACAGCUGCCCAUGCUGCUGCCGGCGGCGGUGCAGGCCUCCUUGUCAAUGCUCUGCCGCUCCGCUGCCACCUCCACCGCCUCCACCUGCUGCGGCGUCUCACUGCCUGCCGCCGCCGCCACCCAGACCAGACUGCAGCUGCUGGCGCUGCGGCUGGUGCGGGCGCUGUCCGGCACGGCGCAGCAGCACGAGCUGAGCGGCGAGUCAGGCGCGUCCGGCCGCUCAGUGACAACGGCCACCUCCUGCUCCGCUUCGGCCGCCGCCGGCACGCACUCGCCCUGGGCCUCUGCUUUCCCCAUCGCCGCCAGCUCCGCCGCCAUCCAGGGCGACAGCGAGGCGAGGUAGGCGCCGAAAUCGUCGGCCUCCUCCUCCUCGACGUCAUCCGCCCAGCGGCGGCCGCUGGGGGUGCCGCCGGUGCCGCUGGCAGAUCCCGCCGCCGCCUGCUCCGCCAGACCCUCCUUCAACCAAUCUGCAAGCGACCCGAGGUCGAGCUCCUCCUCCUCCUCCGCCUCCUCGUGCGCCUCGACUUCAUCCGCCCAGCUACCGCUCGCGCCACCGCUGCUGCUAAUGCUGGCGCGAGGAGCAAUGCUGCUGCUGCUACUGCUGCUGCUGCUGCCGUCAGACUCUGACG